GAUCAUGGCUCAGAUUGAACGCUGGCGGCAGGCCUAACACAUGCAAGUCGAACGGUAACAGGAAUCAGCUUGCUGAUUUGCUGACGAGUGGCGGACGGGUGAGUAAUGUCUGGGAAACUGCCUGAUGGAGGGGGAUAACUACUGGAAACGGUAGCUAAUACCGCAUAACGUCGCAAGACCAAAGAGGGGGGACCUUCGGGCCGUCUUGUCCAUCGGAUGUGCCCACGAUGGGAGUUAG
Molecule: ribosomal RNA, 238 nt
Filed under: uncultured bacterium
Lineage: Bacteria
Description: partial 16S ribosomal RNA
Rfam family: Bacterial small subunit ribosomal RNA
Source: RNAcentral